Molecule: unclassified non-coding RNA, 211 nt
Filed under: plant metagenome
Description: partial contains small subunit ribosomal RNA, internal transcribed spacer 1, and 5.8S ribosomal RNA
Source: RNAcentral
UUUCCGUGGGUGAACCUGCGGAAGGAUCAUUCAUAAUAAAGUGUUUUAUGGCACUGUUUAAAAAUCCAUAUCCACCUUGUGUGCAAUGUUAGAUCUCGUCAAUCUUGGCGAGAUUUUUAUACAUCAACUCAUUCUUUAACUAAUUUGUCUGAAAAAUAUUAUGAAUACUUAAUUCAAAAUACAACUUUCAACAACGGAUCUCUUGGCUCUC